RNAcentral lists this ribosomal RNA (452 nucleotides) under Agapophytus albobasalis. RNAcentral's name for it is "partial 16S ribosomal RNA". The record is from RNAcentral. Lineage: Eukaryota; Metazoa; Arthropoda; Insecta; Diptera; Therevidae.
AAAAAUUUAAAUGGCCGCAGUAUUUUAACUGUGCAAAGGUAGCAUAAUCAUUAGUCUUUUAAUUGAAGGCUUGUAUGAAUGGUUGGACGAAAUAUUAACUGUUUCAUAAAAAUUGAUUUAGAAUUUUAUUUUUUAGUUAAAAAGCUAAAAUAUUUUUAAAAGACGAGAAGACCCUAUAGAUCUUUAUAGUUUAUUUAUUACAGUUAUUUAGAUAAUUUAAAUUGUGAUAUGUAUAAAUUAUUUUGUUGGGGUGACAUUAAAAUUUAAUUAACUUUUAAUAUAUUUAUUACAUUGAUUUAUGAUUAAUUGAUCCAUUAUUAAUGAUUAUAAAAUUAAGUUACCUUAGGGAUAACAGCGUAAUUUUUUUGAAGAGUUCAUAUCGAUAAAAAAGAUUGCGACCUCGAUGUUGGAUUAAGAUAUAAUUUUGGGUGCAGCAAUUCAAUUAUAAAGUC